This 71-nucleotide transfer RNA is filed under the name Emoia caeruleocauda. RNAcentral's name for it is "tRNA-Trp". Lineage: Eukaryota; Metazoa; Chordata; Lepidosauria; Squamata; Scincidae. The record is from RNAcentral.
AAGCUUAGGUUAACACCACAAACCAGGGGCCUUCAAAGCCCCAAACAAGAGCUGGGCCCUYUUAGCCUCUG